Molecule: long non-coding RNA, 599 nt
Organism: Dalotia coriaria
Lineage: Eukaryota; Metazoa; Arthropoda; Insecta; Coleoptera; Staphylinidae
Exons: 3
Source: RefSeq, a predicted model, not a curated record
GCAAGUGUAACAAAAAUUGCGGUGUGCGUACUUUGGUAAUCGCUUAAUACACUAUUGCCAAUGUCACGAUAUGCGUACGUGCCCGAGACGAUGACCAUUAUGCAUUAAGGCAACUCGUGUAAUUCCAGUACAAGUACAUGUCAGUAGACGGCUAACAAAAAAGAAGAUCGUCAUCGGGUACCGCUUCUUUGUUUUAAAAUCGUAUAUAAGCGACGAGCGGUGUGCAUCCAGUUAUCAGUUUUCAACUGCAAUCAGCUUGAGUCUACUCAACAACAAACAACCCAACAUGUUCAAAUACAUUUUCUUUGCUGUUCUUUUGGCGUUUGCCGCCGCUGAGCCAAAACCAGAACCUAAGCCUGGUUACCUGGCCGCCCCAUUGGCAUACACUUCGGGGGCAUACAUCAACCCCUACUCAACUUACCCAACUUACUCUGCUUAUAAUGCCUAUAGCGCUCCCUUGGCUUACAGCAACCUCCAGGCAUACAACUAUGGGUAUCCAUAUGCUUACAACUACUACUAUUAAUUGAUUGUAAUAACGUGAUAAGAAUUGUGAUCAAUGAUUUUGUCAAUGCAAAUGAAUAAAUGACUGAAUUAAUUAA